GACGAACGCUGGCGGCGUGCUUAACACAUGCAAGUCGAACGGAAAGGCCCUGCUUUUGUGGGGUGCUCGAGUGGCGAACGGGUGAGUAACACGUGAGUAACCUGCCCUUGACUUUGGGAUAACUUCAGGAAACUGGGGCUAAUACCGGAUAGGAGCUCCUGCUGCAUGGUGGGGGUUGGAAAGUUUCGGCGGUUGGGGAUGGACUCGCGGCUUAUCAACUUGUUGGUGGGGUAGUGGCUUACCAAGGCUUUGACGGGUAGCCGGCCUGAGAGGGUGACCGGCCACAUUGGGACUGAGAUACGGCACAGACUCCUACGGGAGGCAGCAGUGGGGAAUAUUGCACAAUGGGCGGAAGCCUGAUGCAGCAACGCCGCGUGCGGGAUGACGGCCUUCGGGUUGUAAGCCGCUUUCGCCUGUGACGAAGCGUGAGUGACGGUAAUGGGUAAAGAAGCACCGGCUAACUACGUG
This 468-nucleotide ribosomal RNA is filed under the name uncultured bacterium. Its description in RNAcentral is "partial 16S ribosomal RNA". It matches the Rfam family "Bacterial small subunit ribosomal RNA", at positions 28 to 507 of the family's 1533-position model. The record is from RNAcentral.